Brassica napus (rape) is the source of this 4021-nucleotide long non-coding RNA. RefSeq lists it as uncharacterized. The record is from RefSeq and is a predicted model, not a curated record. The transcript has 3 exons. NCBI's taxonomy places the organism in Eukaryota, Viridiplantae, Streptophyta, Magnoliopsida, Brassicales, Brassicaceae.
CAAAUUAAAAGUGACUAAGUAAAGUUCUUAAACUUAAGAAUUCACUUUUUACAUUUUCUUAGUUUAUUUUAGUUGCUAAUGUUAUUAUGCUCUUGUCUUAUUUAAAUAUAAUAUAUCUUUAAAAAAUUGAAUUUCUUUUACUGUUUUAUUAAGUUAACUAUCAAAACUAAUUAAAAAUAUUUAUAUUAUAAUUUUAUUUAAAAAUUAAUGGACUAAUAUAUUAAUCUAUUAAAUGUUUUCACCGUUUACAAAAUUAUAAGUUUUUAAAAAAGGAAACAAAAAGUGAAAGCAUAUCCAGAGAACAUAAGAAAAUAUUAAAACUUUAGUAACACACUUAAUAAGUUACAAAAUCUUACCAAAAGUUUAGUAAGAAUCCUAAUAAGUUAUAACAAAAGUUUUGGUAAGACUUUGGAAAGUUUUUGUAAGACUAUUUAACUUAUUAAGAGUUACUAAAGUCUUAAUAUUUGUUUCAUGUUCUCUGCUUUCACUUUUUGUUUUAAUAUUUUUAAUAUUUAGUGAACAAAGCUGAUUGCUUUUUGAAUUAAAGAUUGGACCUUUCGAGCAUUGAAUAUGUUUAUAGAUCGUAUAGAGUUAUAGACUUAUAGUUACAUGGAGGAGUCACAAUGUGACGGUAUUGGUGGCCACCAUGUGAGCAAGAUCUCAGUUUGAUCUUCGUUUCUUUGCUAAACAACAGACUACAUUUUGUUUUCUAGUACAUAAUCUCGUUUAAGGGUCAAUCUCCUUUUAUAGCAUUUUCUUUUGUUUUGUAAUCGAUACAUGUGUCUUAGUUUCGACAUGAUCUUGUUCAAAGGUCAUCUCUCAAAUUCACAUAAGCUCAGGCUAUACGCACAAUCUUGUUGAAGAAACUGAAGACGCGUGUGAUCAAUAGUAACUGUAAUCCAGUGUGGAACGAACAACUGACCCUUUCCAUUAAACAUCUGGAUGAUCCAAUCCGUCUGAUAAAGACUGAUUCUCGGGAGAUGACAAAAUGGGUGAUGCGGAAAUAGGCAUAAGUCCUUUCUUAGAAGCCCAUCAGAUGGAGUUAAGAUUUACAUGCAAUCAAGAGGAUCCGUCCAGGAGGGACCAACUGUUUGGCUGAAGAGAGCAGCAUCACUUGGAACAAUGGGGAAGGUCAAACAAGACACGAUUCUUAGACUAAAGAAUGGGGAGCGUGGAGAAAUGGAGAUCAUGCUCGAGUGGACUGAUGGUCCAGGCUACAAGGAUCUCAUGAUCCAAGAAGACACCAUGGAUGCAACUAAGCGAUUGGACUAAGGUGCAGAAAUGUUCAAGAGAGACCUUGAAGAUGUGGUUGUUAUUUUCUUCUUCUCCUCAUGGAAAGACAAGUUUGCCUUUAUUUCUGCUUUGGUCUUUAGCUGUACAUGUUGAAUAUAAAACAACCCGUUAUAUAUGUACAUUUGUAUAUGUUUCUACUAUUGAAAAAUUGAAGCAAACUUUCUAGAAACUCUUCAAGUUUUUCUUAGUUUCUGCUAAUGAAUAUGUAUAUAUAUUGUUGGACGAAGCACAAAAAUUAAAGGUCAACGAUGUUGACUUUCCUCCACUGUCAAGAUAGGAGAUGCACAGAUAGACAUCAAGCCGUUCCCUUAAGAUUCACAAAUUGGGUUGGCAGAGAUCAAGACAGUCUAAAGAGAGCAAAAUCGUCUACCAUAAUGGCAAUAUCGUUCAUGACAUUGAUUCUUUUGUCGAGGAACGUUGAAUGUGGUGGUAAAGGACUCUGAGAGACAGAGAUUGACGUAUUCUGAUGAUUCAUAUAUCAUGAUGACUUCUCAUUUACCGUAUACAAGAAACGGUCUCAAGUUCUUUACCAAGAGAGGAGGAUUAACGUUUUCUGAAGUGGAGAAGAUACUAUGUGAUUUAGCUGCAUUAAAGUACGCAAAUAGACAGUCUAAAGUCGCGCUUACUCUAAGCACCUUAGAUAAACUAUUUAAGAGAGAAUCAAUCACUAUGAUACUCCUCUCAAAGGAUUUAAGGCAAGAGUCUAGCUUUAUAAGAUCUCCCUGCUUUAAUGUUUCUAUACAUAUUAUAACGUUCUUUUUUUUUUGUUAGAUAGUAGUGAAUGCUGGUAAUGGGUCAGGAGGGUUCUUUACGUGGGACGUUCUAGACAAGUUAGGAUCUGAUACAUUCUGUUCACUCUAUCUUAACCCAGAUUGGAUGUUCCCUAUCGAUUGAUUAGUUUAUGCGACUUAUAAUAAUUAGUACGGAUAUAGGAAGUACAGUAGUGACGAAUGCAAUAACGAGUAUGGGGCUCACUAGGUUUAUAACGGAGAGAGGAGGGAGACAUUGUUUGUACAGAGUAGGGUAUAGAAACGUGAUCGACAAAGGAGUAGAGUUGAACAGAGAUGGCAUCGAGACACAUCUCAUGAGUCAUUAUGGAGACUUCAAGACAUGGUGCUGUUACAGAGAACCACUACUUGGAUGAUGGUUAGUUAAUUAUGAUGUAGGCCACAAUGGUUUAUUUGCAUGUGUGUUCCACGUAAACGCAAAUAAACAAUCAUGGAUCAAAUCCUCUUUUGUUCUUAUGGGUUUAUGGUGAUAUAUGGUUAUUAAUAUUAUAAUCUUCUAAUGUUUUUAGCUGCAUACAUAGUGGUGAAAAUUAUGAUUGAAAUGGUGAGAAUGAGACUUGCCGGAUCAAAUGAAUGUAUAGAUAGUCUGAUCAAAGAUCUUAAGGAGCCGUUAGAAGCGCUUGGGCUGCGGAUGAAUAUUUUGUCAAAGCCAAGAGAUGCAAUAGGAAAAGGCAUUGAAGCUAUUGCGACAUUCAGUCAAUAUAUCGAGGUAUCAUAGCUUUAUUAGUAAUCCGAUUAGUUGUGGAUGUAGCUUUAAAUUUCAGAGUUAUAAUUUAAAUGGUUAUUAGGAAGUAAAACUAAAAGGAUGGGAACUAGACUCGUGUGGAGAAUGUUGGGUAAUUGAAGGUUGCAUAAUGGACUCAAAUGAUCAUCAAUCUGCCAUUGAUGCUCACAUGUACAGGUAAUUUAUUUUGUUUACAGAUUCCAUAUAUCAUAUGAUGAUAUUAGAAAUUCAACUUAUUAAUUUACAUAAAUAAUAAUUCAGGGUAAAGGUGAGGGAUGAAGAGAGUGGGGAAUAGUAUGGGUGGGUGCACCGUGCACAUAAGGCAGAGCAUUCAUAUCCCUAACAUUGCUCUUAGUAUGCAAUCAAUGCUUUCUGGUGGAUGUCUCUUCAUGACAAGACUCUUCAGAGACUUGUAACUUUUUCAUUCUUCAUAAUUCUAAUAAUAAGUCUUACUCCGAAUUUGAAGAACUUAAUGUUCAAAUGUUUUUUUUGUUGUUGUUGACAACGUUACAGUGGAUUUACGUUUGCUUGAUUCAGGUUUUCGGAAUCUGGUGGGAUGGCUAGAUUCUUGGAUAUAAGUGAUUUCAGACAAUUACAUUGGAAUUCAACCUUAAGACUUUUCAGGUAAAUUGAACUUGGGAUGUUAACUACGUAGUUGUUGCCUACAUUAGAGAAAAGUAGAGAUACAUCACUCUUGCAUGUUAACUACAUGCAAGUCUUUGAAGUCUCCACAAUGGUUUAUUGAUCAAGGGGAGAAUUAAAUAGAGUUAACGUUUUAGAAGUCCACGGCAUUUUUUUAAUUAAUGAAAUUAAGCUUGUGAUGUUAACUACAUAAUAUUAUUAAAUUGAGGGAUGUUGCCAUGAAUAACAUAUACUUCGUGUAGUUAAGCAUACAUUAGUUUAGUCUGCAUAGUUAAUUAUGUGAUGGUCAAUACUUCAAGUAACCACCAAUUAUUUUUCCUAUUUAAAUUUUAAUUAGAAAUUUAAAAUUUGGCAUAUUAUUAGAUUUCAAAGCUCUACCUUUAUUCAAGGGACAAUAGAGUAUAAAAACUGUUUUUGUUAUUACAUAAUUUUAAAUUUUUAUUCUAUAAUCUCUAUAAAUUAUCAAGAAAUAUUAUUUUUUUAAUUUUAAAUUUAUGUUGAUUGUAUUGUCAACAUUCACUUAACUUAUGUAGAGCAUCUAAAAAAAAAACAUUAUUUUGAAGUUUCCAAAACU